UCCCUUCAGAUCUACGCUUGGCGGGUG
RNAcentral lists this non-coding RNA (27 nucleotides) under Mus musculus (house mouse). The record is from RNAcentral. Lineage: Eukaryota; Metazoa; Chordata; Mammalia; Rodentia; Muridae.